Molecule: small nuclear RNA, 166 nt
Organism: Rosa rugosa (rugosa rose)
Lineage: Eukaryota; Viridiplantae; Streptophyta; Magnoliopsida; Rosales; Rosaceae
Product: U1 spliceosomal RNA
Exons: 1
Source: RefSeq, a predicted model, not a curated record
AUAUUUAACUGGGCGGGUCAUCAAUGGGCGAUCAAGAAGACUCAUGGCCUAGCUAGGCUAGUGACCUCCAUUGCACUUUGAGAGGUACUGCUCAAGGUCUCCCCAAGAGGGAGAGCCUGUAUGUCAUAAUUUGUUAUAGGGGGUUUUGCGUACGCGCAGCCUCGCG